Molecule: ribosomal RNA, 597 nt
Filed under: Janthinobacterium sp. 4w5
Lineage: Bacteria; Pseudomonadati; Pseudomonadota; Betaproteobacteria; Burkholderiales; Oxalobacteraceae
Description: bacterial SSU rRNA
Rfam family: Bacterial small subunit ribosomal RNA
Source: RNAcentral
UCGAACGGCAGCACGGAGCUUGCUCUGGUGGCGAGUGGCGAACGGGUGAGUAAUAUAUCGGAACGUACCCUAGAGUGGGGGAUAACGUAGCGAAAGUUACGCUAAUACCGCAUACGAUCUAAGGAUGAAAGUGGGGGAUCGCAAGACCUCAUGCUCGUGGAGCGGCCGAUAUCUGAUUAGCUAGUUGGUAGGGUAAAAGCCUACCAAGGCAUCGAUCAGUAGCUGGUCUGAGAGGACGACCAGCCACACUGGAACUGAGACACGGUCCAGACUCCUACGGGAGGCAGCAGUGGGGAAUUUUGGACAAUGGGCGAAAGCCUGAUCCAGCAAUGCCGCGUGAGUGAAGAAGGCCUUCGGGUUGUAAAGCUCUUUUGUCAGGGAAGAAACGGUGAAAGCUAAUAUCUUUUGCUAAUGACGGUACCUGAAGAAUAAGCACCGGCUAACUACGUGCCAGCAGCCGCGGUAAUACGUAGGGUGCAAGCGUUAAUCGGAAUUACUGGGCGUAAAGCGUGCGCAGGCGGUUUUGUAAGUCUGAUGUGAAAUCCCCGGGCUCAACCUGGGAAUUGCAUUGGAGACUGCAAGGCUAGAAUCUGGCAG